Molecule: long non-coding RNA, 1296 nt
Filed under: Chlamydomonas reinhardtii
Lineage: Eukaryota; Viridiplantae; Chlorophyta; Chlorophyceae; Chlamydomonadales; Chlamydomonadaceae
Description: long non-coding RNA (CREI_LNC000716)
Source: RNAcentral
ACCCACCACCUUGACGCCCGCCGCCACCACAGCUACCAUGCCAAACUAUGCCACUGGCGCCGCCGCGCCCGCCUCCAUCUCUAGCGCCAGACAGCUGGUGUCACGCUGGCUCCUGUAGUUUUGCUUCCACCGGCAGCGCCUGCAUGCACGCGUGCACACACAUAGACACACCCAGUUAAUCGUCUGCCACAAGACGGGUAGGUGCCAAUGCAUGUCAAGGCCAGCCAUGGACAGAGUGCUUGGCAGUGCACGGGGCCUACUACACAAGGCGUGUCUGUGUGCACAUGUGCAUGUGUGUGCGUCCACACGUGUCACGGACACAUGUGUGUGCGUCCACACGUGUCACGGACACUCACCGUUGAUGAGCACAAUGCUGGAGGUGUAGGGGCAGUCCAGCCAACCGUACGGUCCAUAGGGUACAACAGGGGUUGGGCAGCAAGCUGUCGCGGGGCAGGGUGUGUGCGUGCGGAGGGGGGCGGGGUGGUAUGUGAGACACUAGGCGUACCGUGGCAAGGGAGCCAUAAAAACACCUUACAGCGAGCGCUGGUAAGGGAGGCAGCAGACAGUCACUAGUUGUAGGCGGGGGCUCCACCAGACAACCCAACACAGCGCGAGAAGAUGAACCAUGCACUGGCUUGCGAGGUACCACUAGGUUCAACGCAUCCCAUCGUCAUUCAACCUGCGGACUAACCUGCGGACUAACCUGCGGACUAUGGCGUGCGGGGCGAGGGUGAUGUUGACAGAACGCGAUGUUGAAUGGCGUUGUUGACGCCGGCCACCGAGACUUCUCGGUCGGACAUUUGAAGCGCAGCUGAUAGAUUAUGAGGCAUAGUCGUUUCUCUCACGUAAUAGCUGGCUGCAGCUGACGUGUGAGCAGCGUUGCCAAGCCGGUCAACGAGCAGUCAGCAGCGUGAGGACUCACGUCCCAAGCCAGCCAAGCAGCGUCUGCCGCCAGCUCUUGUUCUAAUGACAUUUGAGCUAGCAUAAAUUUGUGUUACAAAGAGAAGUAGCAAGCGCGAGAGAGCAAAGUGGGGGAGAGGAACAGAAGUGCAGCGGCACCGGCAUGAAGUGCAGUGUAUCAGUAUAUGUAUGGUACUAUAUCAGUGUAUGUGUAGUAGUAUCAGGGGCCGCUCUAUGCUGCUUGUUAAGUCAGGCCCGCGAGAACCCCAUGCAGGAACCCUGGUUACCCCUCGCGAAGGCCCCCGUUACCCCUGGCUUAGGGUCGUUACCACGCCCAAGGGUCCCUGUCACAAUGUCACACAGUCGGCCUACAGCCCCCAGACUUCCUCGUUCGCG